Molecule: ribosomal RNA, 265 nt
Filed under: uncultured bacterium
Lineage: Bacteria
Description: partial 16S ribosomal RNA
Rfam family: Bacterial small subunit ribosomal RNA
Source: RNAcentral
AUGGCGACCGGCGCACGGGUGAGUAACACGUAUCCAACCUGCCGAUGACUCGGGGAUAGCCUUUCGAAAGAAAGAUUAAUAUCCGAUAGGAUAUCAAGGUCGCAUGAUCUUGAUAUUAAAGAAUUUCGGUUAUCGAUGGGGAUGCGUUCCAUUAGUUAGUUGGCGGGGUAACGGCCCACCAAGACGACGAUGGAUAGGGGUUCUGAGAGGAAGGUCCCCCACAUUGGAACUGAGACACGGUCCAAACUCCUACGGAAGGCAGCAG